This 497-nucleotide ribosomal RNA is filed under the name uncultured bacterium. Its description in RNAcentral is "partial 16S ribosomal RNA". It matches the Rfam family "Bacterial small subunit ribosomal RNA", at positions 28 to 507 of the family's 1533-position model. The record is from RNAcentral.
GAUGAACGCUGGCGGCGUGCCUAACACAUGCAAGUCGAGCGAACAGACGAGGAGCUUGCUCCUCUGACGUUAGCGGCGGACGGGUGAGUAACACGUGGAUAACCUACCUAUAAGACUGGGAUAACUUCGGGAAACCGGAGCUAAUACCGGAGAAUAUAUUGAACCGCAGGGUGCAAUAGUGAAAGACGGUUUUGCUGUCACUUAUAGAGGGAUCCGCGCCGCAUUAGCUAGUUGGUAGGGUAACGGCUUACCAAGGCAACGAUGCGUAGCCGACCUGAGAGGAUGAUCGGCCACACUGGAACUGAGACACGGUCCAGACUCCUACGGGAGGCAGCAGUAGGGAAUCUUCCGCAAUGGGCGAAAGCUUGACGCAGCAACGCCGCGUGAGUGAUGAAGGUCUUCGGAUCGUAAAACUCUGUUAUUAGGGAAGAACAAAUGUGUAAUUAACUAUGGACGUCUUGACGGUACCUGAUCAAAAAGCACCGGCUAACUACGUG